RNAcentral lists this long non-coding RNA (460 nucleotides) under Arabidopsis lyrata. RNAcentral describes it as "long non-coding RNA (ALYR_LNC000124)". The record is from RNAcentral. Lineage: Eukaryota; Viridiplantae; Streptophyta; Magnoliopsida; Brassicales; Brassicaceae.
CCUCUAAAGCCUUCUUCUCAGUGAAUUCGUUAAGAAAUCCCCAAAAUUCAAACGAGAAUCUCACAGUAACACCAGUUUUUCGAGGGAAAGAGAAGCGCGAAGAAGAAGGAGAGAAAAAAAAACCCUAGAAUUAGAUAAUGGAGUUGAGAAGAAGAAGAAGAAGUCUCUCGAUUGGCUUUAAGUGAAGGGUAAAUGUGGAAGAGAGGUUUGUGCUUUUUAGUGCCCAAAAUCUUUAUCUCCUCCAUUUUUCUGAUUUUCUCUCCUCCUCCUUUUUUUUUUUUUUUUUUUUUUCUUUUUUUUUCGGGUCUUCACUUCCAUGCCGUCCCGUUUAAAUAUCCCCGGCGAUACUCUUUGUCGGAGUUAAUGAGUAAGACGAUCGAUGGAUGAUUCAGCUUUUGGGUUGGGCCCUUAAAACAUUCAGGCCCAAUCUUUUCAAGGCUCGUAAAAAGAUGAGCUUAAA